Molecule: ribosomal RNA, 253 nt
Filed under: uncultured bacterium
Lineage: Bacteria
Description: partial 16S ribosomal RNA
Rfam family: Bacterial small subunit ribosomal RNA
Source: RNAcentral
UACGGAGGGUGCAAGCGUUAUCCGGAUUCACUGGGUUUAAAGGGUGUGUAGGCGGGCUGUUAAGUCAGUGGUGAAAUCUCCGGGCUCAACCCGGAAACUGCCAUUGAUACUAAUGGUCUUGAAUUUUGUUGAGGUAGGCGGAAUAUGUCAUGUAGCGGUGAAAUGCUCAGAUAUGACAUAGAACACCGAUUGCGAAGGCAGCUUACUAAGCAAAUAUUGACGCUGAGGCACGAAAGCGUGGGGAUCAAACAGG